Molecule: unclassified non-coding RNA, 337 nt
Filed under: soil metagenome
Description: partial contains 5.8S ribosomal RNA, internal transcribed spacer 2, and large subunit ribosomal RNA
Rfam family: 5.8S ribosomal RNA (bases 1-120)
Source: RNAcentral
GAUGAAGAACGUAGCGAAAUGCGAUAAGUAAUGUGAAUUGCAGAAUUCAGUGAAUCAUCGAAUCUUUGAACGCACAUUGCGCCCGCCAGUAUUCUGGCGGGCAUGCCUGUUCGAGCGUCAUUUCAACCAUCAAGCCCCAGGCUUGUGUUGGGGACCUGCGGCUGCCGCAGGCCCUGAAAACCAGUGGCGGGCUCGCUGUCACACCGGGCGUAGUAGCACAUCUCGCUCAGGGCGUGCGGCGGGUUCUUGCCGUAAAACAACCCCCCCUUUUCACCAAGGUUGACCUCGGAUCAGGUAGGAAUACCCGCUGAACUUAAGCAUAUCAAUAAGCGGAGGA